Long non-coding RNA from Panicum virgatum (switchgrass), 2016 nucleotides. RefSeq lists it as uncharacterized. Lineage: Eukaryota; Viridiplantae; Streptophyta; Magnoliopsida; Poales; Poaceae. The transcript has 3 exons. The record is from RefSeq and is a predicted model, not a curated record.
CCGUCCGUUCCUAUCAAACCGCAUCACCCGGCCUUCCUCGCGCGGCUCGGCUGGACUUGACGGCUCUCUCAGUCCCAGCGACUCAGCCACAAUGGCCAGAUCAUUGUAAUUAAUUAGACAAAAAACGAUCCCAAAAUUUCUCGCGUUCCUUAUAACGCACAGACGCCCAAACAUCGCCGCGAUGAUUCUAUCGCCGAGCAGGAAGCAGGAUGUGCACUCCAUCGGAGACACCGCCGCUCAGGCAUUGCAGGGAUCCCCCGAUUGCCAAAGCUUCAUCAAUCGCUCAUCAGGUUUACGGCACAAAAAUCUGAUUCGAACCCACCACCGGCUAUAUCCACAGGAACACCGCAUCUUGCAGCUGGAGGUGCCCCUGCCCCCAUCCUCCAAAGGGGAUCUAGCCAUCUAGAUCGACAACAAUCGUUGCUGCCGCGCGGGGGUUCAUUGACUGGCGCAGCCCAGGUAAACCAGUCAUGAUUUGAGCCAUAAUCACCCGGGGCUGGACUAUCCCCAUUUUUUUCGUGCGUGCCCAUUGAAAAGCGCAGGAUUGCUUAUUUUGUUGUUGAGUCAUCACUUUCUCGGUGAUUUUUACUACUGAUAAUCCCCAAUUUUGCUCACCCAUCGUGGGUAUUGAAGAUAAAUUUAUCCGUGCAGGCAAAUGAGCUUCCGAUCCACGACAGCAGCAAAGAGAUAUAUGUCAGUUGCCAAUUGCCAUGCUAUAGAUGUUCUAUGAAUUGAGAUAGCAUUAUCUGGAUUUCAUUAUUUUCAGUAUCUCAUUGGGUUCGUGGAAAAUAGACUGAUCUGGGUAUUUUUGUACACUGGUAAAUUGAUGAAUCCAUUACCAAUCUUAGAUUCUAGUAAUCAUUUAUAAAGAUUAUCAUAAAUCACGUAUGAGGGACAUAUAUUCUAGUAAAUCAUUUCGAGAAAUCCGAGUAAAUAGAUUUUUUAGAAAUCAUAAUUGAUAUAUUUGUUAUGGUUAGACUUGCUUUCUCGUAACACGCAGUUGUUUUGUGGAUCUGGCAAUUGGCUCUGUGUUUCCUAAUUUCAGUAUCUUGGGCUACAAAGGAGCCUGACUUCAAAAUCUUAAGUUGAUUAGUUCUCCAGAACCUUUUUCUACUAAAUCAUAAAAAAAGUCCAUCUAGACUAGCAGCUGUUUCCAUUAUCUUCAUUUACUCUUCAGUAUUUUACCUCAUUUACUAAUUUAUUUUCAUAUGUUCUUGCAAGACCAUAGCGCAUAAUACUUUGUAAUUUUAUUAUAUAUCCAUCGACCCUUCACACUAGUAAACACACCACAUAGUAAAUUUUCUAAUUAUUUUUUGCAUGGCAAUUUUAGUAAGUUUAACAUAGUAAGUUUAACAAACCAUAGCUGUAGGUAAAUUAUUGAUUACCACCAAUUUUUCAGUAAAUUCUCAAUGAGCUGCGAUACUUUUUUACGUGAACUAUGGUUUCCUGUUUCAUGACCUGAGUAGUUUUUUACUUCCUUUUUUUUUUAAGGAGAUGAGGCCCCCUCAGUAAAUGCAAGGGAGAUUAAAAUCAUUCUCGGUAGAAACCACCCAAGGGAUUUGGGCCAUCGAAGUAAGUUCCAUCACUGGUGCUGGUAGCAUCCACCUGCCGAUGCUGCUGGACAGCCACAACCAUCAGCACGACCUCAGCUGGAUCUUAGGGCUUAUUCUUAUAUACCACAAAACUGCAAUUUUAACUGAUAAAUUAUGUGUUGCAUCUGUGUUGGUAACCUUAUUUCCUUACACUUUCAGUUUUAGAAGCUACAUUUCCCCAAGCCUUUGAUUGUACCAUGGAGCGUGAUAAGGGCAUCUGGGUAAAUAGUACGCCAGGUCUGCUCAGCGUCAUUUGGGAACAGAAAAUGGGCAAAUCGUAAUUAAUUUAUAAUAAUUUUACUCCGGGCCGGGUCAUUGUAGUAACGGGUCGUUCAGAAUAUGAUGAAUCAAGAAGAUCAUGUCGUUGUCUCAUACAACACAAAGGAGGAGUUACUAUUCAUCAAAUUAUACAUUCAUACAGCAC